RNAcentral lists this ribosomal RNA (555 nucleotides) under uncultured bacterium. RNAcentral describes it as "bacterial SSU rRNA". It matches the Rfam family "Bacterial small subunit ribosomal RNA", at positions 57 to 609 of the family's 1533-position model. The record is from RNAcentral.
GCAAGUCGAACGGUAACAUUUCUAGCUUGCUAGAAGAUGACGAGUGGCGGACGGGUGAGUAAUGCUUGGGAACUUGCCUUUGCGAGGGGGAUAACAGUUGGAAACGACUGCUAAUACCGCAUAAUGUCUUCGGACCAAACGGGGCUUCGGCUCCGGCGCAAAGAGAGGCCCAAGUGAGAUUAGCUAGUUGGUAAGGUAAAGGCUUACCAAGGCAACGAUCUCUAGCUGUUCUGAGAGGAAGAUCAGCCACACUGGAACUGAGACACGGUCCAGACUCCUACGGGAGGCAGCAGUGGGGAAUAUUGCACAAUGGGGGAAACCCUGAUGCAGCCAUGCCGCGUGUGUGAAGAAGGCCUUCGGGUUGUAAAGCACUUUCAGUUGUGAGGAAAAGUUAGUAGUUAAUACCUGCUAGCCGUGACGUUNACAACAGAAGAAGCACCGGCUAACUCCGUGCCAGCAGCCGCGGUAAUACGGAGGGUGCGAGCGUUAAUCGGAAUUACUGGGCGUAAAGCGCACGCAGGCGGUUUGUUAAGCUAGAUGUGAAAGCCCCGGGCU